Homo sapiens (human) is the source of this 1241-nucleotide long non-coding RNA. The record is from Ensembl. NCBI's taxonomy places the organism in Eukaryota, Metazoa, Chordata, Mammalia, Primates, Hominidae.
UUAGGGAAGACCCAGGCAGGGCGCAAUAUAUUCUUCUUUUUGUUCUCCUGUCUGUCUCCGUUUGCAAUCCCAGCCGCUUUGUAUGGAGAGCUUUUACGCAGCACCUGAAAAUUCAAUUUGAACACCUGUGUCCCCUUCUUUUCAAUCUGGGAGGCUGAAAUUUGACAGACACAUCAUGGCAAAGUUGUGCAGCAGCGAUACAAGUAGAUGCUGAAGAAAAGGGAGGAAUCUGAGCGCAGGAUAAAAUGCUCAAGAAAAUCCCAUUGGUGGAAUGUUUGUGAGAGAAAAAAAAGGUGGCAGAAAGACUGGUAUUAUAGUAGUCCCUGCUUAUCUUCGGGGGAUAUUCUCCAGAAACCCCAUCCCGCCGCCAGUGGAUGCCUGAGACCUUGGAUAGUACCGAACCAGAUUGCCAUCUAUUGGAACAUGUUUCUCUUCCAUCCACAGAUGUAAUGCCUUUUCCAUCUUAACUCAGCACUCAUCAUGCACUGCGGCCAUAACUUUUGCAGUCUGAGGCACAACAGCAAAACUAGCACAAAUUUAUUUUUCCUACUUGACAAUUUCACAGAUGGAAGAUUCAUUCUUAACAUAAAUCAUAGCAACCUCAGCAUACAGUUUUUAUUCUUUCCUUAUUAAGUUGAGACCUUCCACCUUUCCACUGAAUGGAAGCACGUUAUGGCUUCUCUUUGGCAUGUGUGAAUUGCCAGCAUCACCUACUCUUGCACGUUGGGGGCCAUUGUGAAGUAAAAUAAGGAAUCCUCAAACACAAGCACUGUGAUGCCACAACAUUGAUCUGAUAACUAGGAAGGCUACUCUCUGAAUAAUGGCACCAGAGGAGACAGCUUGGAGACUCUGGACAAAGGGAGGAGUUACGUCCUGGUUGGGAGAACUCAUCAUGCUACUCAGAAUGGUGUGCCACUUAUUAAUUGCAUAUUUCUGGAAUUUUCCAUUUCAUACUUUCAGACUAUGGUUGACUUUGGAUAACUGAAACCGUGGAAAGUGAAACCACAGAUAAGGGGGACUGCUGCAUUUUUUUUUUCCCUUCACAAACCUGAUUCUCUGAAGAACCACUUUUGUGACCAAGAGGCCAUGCCGUCCAUCUCUUGAAAGAGUUUGAGCAGGGCCUAAGCCAUGUGUGUACUGCCUGGUACUUGCCCACCACCAAGCAAGCUCAUGGCACAUACUGUGGCCAGCAAAGCAUAUUUGACCUGACCAAUAUUAAUAAUAAUCAACUACUGUUCUAA